RNAcentral lists this ribosomal RNA (218 nucleotides) under uncultured bacterium. RNAcentral describes it as "partial 16S ribosomal RNA". It matches the Rfam family "Bacterial small subunit ribosomal RNA", at positions 328 to 540 of the family's 1533-position model. The record is from RNAcentral.
ACGCUCGACACCUACGGGGGCAGCAGUAGGGAAUCUUCCACAAUGGACGCAAGUCUGAUGGAGCAACGCCGCGUGAGUGAAGAGGGUCUUCGGAUCGUAAAACUCUGUUGUUAGAGAAGAACACGAGUGAGAGUAACUGUUCAUUCGAUGACGGUAUCUAACCAGCAAGUCACGGCUAACUACGUCNCANNCGCCGGUAGUAUNGNGGCGNGNGAGAG